AGUUACCAGCACGUUAUGGUGGGACACUCUAAGGAGGACUGCCGGUGACAACCGGAGGAAGGUGGGGAUGACGUCAAGUCAUCAUGGCCCUUACGGCCUGGGCUACACACGUGCUACAAUGGUCGGUACAAAGGGUUGCCAAGCCGCGAGGCGGAGCUAAUCCCAUAAAACCGAUCGUAGUCCGGAUCGCAGUCUGCAACUCGACUGCGUGAAGUCGGAAUCGCUAGUAAUCGUGAAUCAGAAUGUCACGGUGAAUACGUUCCCGGGCCUU
This 271-nucleotide ribosomal RNA is filed under the name uncultured Pseudomonas sp. Its description in RNAcentral is "partial 16S ribosomal RNA". It matches the Rfam family "Bacterial small subunit ribosomal RNA", at positions 1113 to 1382 of the family's 1533-position model. Lineage: Bacteria; Pseudomonadati; Pseudomonadota; Gammaproteobacteria; Pseudomonadales; Pseudomonadaceae. The record is from RNAcentral.